UAUGACAAUCACCGAGGUACUCUUGACACACCACAUUCAAGCUUCAGGACAAAAAGGAGUACCCCUGUAGAGGGAAGUUUUGACCCACAUAUAUAUUGAUGUCAUAGGGGUGCCAAGGGGGGUACCAAAUGGUUUCAAAGUCAAAGAUGAAGUUUGAGUAUUUCCUCAACCAUCACUGCUAAUAAUAUUUUGAUUUGCAUUUAUUAUAUCUAUUACAUCCAACAGUGCUUUGUUAAUUAUACUAGAGAUGCCUUACAAGAGCUGGCUUAACUCUUACACACAUCCCAGAUGGCCCUAGACACGAUUUUGGCAAAGAAGGAAGGAGUAUGUAAAAUACUCCCAGAUACUAUUACAUGACAUGUUGUACCUACAUUGCAGAUAACACAGGUUCAUAUGGUAACAUAACCUUGACAAUAGAGAAGCUAGGGUGUCCCUCUGAAGAAUUAAAAGGAAUUCAGGAACCAUUAAUUCAUGGGGUAGAUGGUUUGAUGGAUGAAUGGCUAGCAAAAGGUUCUGACCCAGAUAGGCGUGGC
Non-coding RNA from Pelobates cultripes (western spadefoot toad), 533 nucleotides. The record is from the annotation of a GenBank genome assembly. NCBI's taxonomy places the organism in Eukaryota, Metazoa, Chordata, Amphibia, Anura, Pelobatidae.